GUGCUCGCUUUGGCAGCACAUAUACUAAAAUUGGAAUGAUACAGAGAAGAUACAUGGCCCCUGCGCAAGGAUGACACAAAUUCGUGAAGCAUUCCAUUUUUUU
This 103-nucleotide small nuclear RNA is filed under the name Octodon degus (degu). Lineage: Eukaryota; Metazoa; Chordata; Mammalia; Rodentia; Octodontidae. The record is from RNAcentral.